Bos indicus x Bos taurus (hybrid cattle) is the source of this 1552-nucleotide long non-coding RNA. NCBI's taxonomy places the organism in Eukaryota, Metazoa, Chordata, Mammalia, Artiodactyla, Bovidae. The record is from Ensembl.
AUGAAUUGUUACAGACGGAAAAAAGGAAAAAGAGACAUUUUCCUUAGAGAAAAAGAUGUUUUGCUUCCAAAUAAAAAGUGAUUAUCCUUUUGCUAAUGAAAAAGAAAAAAAAAAAAACUGUAGACGCAACAAGCAAACUGCCACCGCCCACCUCACUCACCCUCGGAGAACACCUCCCAGGGCUGUGAUCAUGGUGGACACAUGGCCAAAGAGUUUUCUCUGAUUACAGCGGGAGGGAGGGCUUAGCAGACCCUCAGCAUUCUCCUCAAGAGUCCUCACUAAUCACAUCCAGUUUCUCUAAGAUCAUGACAUGGGAGAGGCCACACUCAGACAGAACCGAUCGACCGCACGGUGGACAGAAUAGACGGGCUGUAGCUUGAACUCAUUCUUAAAUGCACACGUUGAAUUAGACAGGCGCUGCCUGAAACUGUUCUCAUUAGCAGCCUGCCAAGCUUGCCUGCUGAUGGGAUAUAGGGGUUAUCUAAGUUUCACUGAAGUGUUUAUUUCUUUAAUGAGAUGUGUGUGUAUGUGUUUACUAUUAUUCGAUUUUUUAAUCUCUCCGAUGUUAUAGCAGAGGGUAUUGCCUCUGUUGGAUGGCAUCACUGACUCGAUGGACAUGAGGGUGAGCAAGGUCUGGGAGUUGGUGAUGGAUGGGGAAGCCUGGCGGUGGUGCAGUCCAUGGGGUCACAAAGAGUUGGACACGACUGAGCGAGUGAACUGGACUGAUUGCCUCUGUAUCGCAAAUCGUUCCCAUCAGCAGAUUGUCUGCUAAUUAGUGCGUCAUCUUCCAGGGGCACUGUUCAAAGAGUUAUGAAUCUCCAUUUGAAGGGAAAAAAAGCUCUUCAAGGACUCUAUAUCCGAGACUAAGAAAACAAGAGAUAUAAAGUAAAAAACAAAAAGAAGCAAACCGAGAAACGAGGUGUAAACGGCUGCUGAGGCUUUGUCCUUUUCCUGCUUUGCAGGUAUUCUGGCUCUGACAGGGUCUUCCUCCCCCCAGCUUUCUGGAAAAUUUCGUAUUCCGGGCACCUCCUCUUUGGACAAGGGUGUCUUGUGUCUUCGAGUCCAGCUGGAGAGCCUGCCAGGCAAAUAGCACAGGCCAUUCAGUCCCGGAGCGGCUUUAUAUAUGCACGGCGGAAGCCAAGGCCAAAGCGUGUUCAUCGUCCCAGACGUGCUGGUUCCAGGCAGCCUGGCGAGUUCAGACGCGGCGAUCGGAUGCUGGGGACUCAGGUGCUGGCACGUGAUUUAUGCGAAGUAACAUCUUGGAACAAAGACCGCCUCCCCCAUCACGGCACUGCUGCCCAAACCAGGCUUGGACCCACAAAACGAUUCCGGUAUAUAUGACAUCAUUUCACUGGAAGUCAACACAGGUGUGUGUGUAGCUGUGCGUGUCAACAUAAUUACAUCAGAACAUUCACAGUUGAUCGCUUCUCUUUGAAGGAGGUAAGAAAAUGCCCACAUAGUUACUUUUCCUUUUUUUAAAAAAAAAAAUUUCUUUUUUUACUGAAGGAUAAUGGCUUUACAGAAUUUUGCUGUUUUCUGUGAAACCUCACCA